UACGGGGGGGGCAAGCGUUGUUCGGAAUUACUGGGCGUAAAGGGCUCGUAGGCGGCCAACUAAGUCAGACGUGAAAUCCCUCGGCUUAACCGGGGAACUGCGUCUGAUACUGGUUGGCUUGAAUCCGGGAGAGGGAUGUGGAAUUCCAGGUGUAGCGGUGAAAUGCGUAGAUAUCUGGAGGAACACCGGUGGCGAAGGCGGCAUCCUGGACCGGCAUUGACGCUGAGGCGCGAAAGCCAGGGGAGCAAACGGG
Molecule: ribosomal RNA, 253 nt
Filed under: uncultured bacterium
Lineage: Bacteria
Description: partial 16S ribosomal RNA
Rfam family: Bacterial small subunit ribosomal RNA
Source: RNAcentral